GUAGGUCCACAUGCAUGAUCCCACCUCAAUUGGAAAAAAUAUGAUAUCUUGUUCAAUUAAAAUCAAACAGUUGAGGCCAACAUAAGGUCCACAUCCAUGAUCCCACUUCAUUAUUAGUCUGGUAGGAUUAAUGUCCUCUGUUCAUUCAUCAAGUCUUGAAUCUUUUGUUUGGAGAUGAAGGUGGGAGAGGAUUGGGAGUUGAUUAUGUUUUCAUGUUGAUACAAAAACUUUUGCCUUCGUCACAUUAUUGCAAUAGCAAUGAUAGAAGGAGUUAUUUGGUUUGAGAAAAAUAUAGAAAUUGAAUAGCAAUGAUAGAGUCUCACAACAUCAUCAACCUAGAUUUACUGUCUCAUGUACUUCAAACAAGAUUAGCUCUAUAGAAUAUAUAUAUUUACAUUUAUAAUGCAUAUUGAAUAAACAAAUUUUAAUUAUUGUUUAUUUGAAAAAAAUGUUUGUUUUAUCGUAGCACCAACGUGAAUAUUAAGAUGAGUAAGAGUUUUUUUUUUUAAUUUCUCAAAAGAAAAUAAAUAAAGGACUCUAUUAUUAAUUUUUUUAUUUUAAAGAAUUUAGUGUUGAAAUUAUACACAUUAAAUACAUAUAAAAGAAUUACUUCUGGUUCGAAUCUACAUUUCAAUGUAUCAAAUAUUCUCCCAAUAUAUAUUUAAUUCAUGUCUUACUUUCUAAAAUAUUGGUCUAUAUACACUAAACUUUAGUAAUUGAGCUCUCCACUUUGUUUAAAAAUGGAGGGGUAAAGAUCUAUGAUAUAUAUUAGUCUUUCAGUCCUAUAAUAAUUAACCAACUUGUAAAAUUACGUGUCCUCAAUAAUUAUCACUUUCAAUUUUUAAAAUAAUAUUUAUUAUAUUUUUUAAUUAUAAUAUCUGAUUAAUAUUAUACACAUUACUCUAAAUUAUAAUUUUCAAAUGAUACCUUUUAAUUACUAUUGUAAUUAUAUAUUUUUAUUAAUUUCAACAAAAUGGUCAAAUAGUUUAAGAUUGUUAGAACGAGUGGGUG
Molecule: long non-coding RNA, 1011 nt
Filed under: Cicer arietinum (chickpea)
Lineage: Eukaryota; Viridiplantae; Streptophyta; Magnoliopsida; Fabales; Fabaceae
Description: long non-coding RNA (CARI_LNC001210)
Source: RNAcentral